This 763-nucleotide ribosomal RNA is filed under the name bacterium. Its description in RNAcentral is "bacterial SSU rRNA". It matches the Rfam family "Bacterial small subunit ribosomal RNA", at positions 35 to 789 of the family's 1533-position model. The record is from RNAcentral.
GCUGGCGGCAGGCUUAACACAUGCAAGUCGAGCGGUAACAGGAGAAGCUUGCUUCUCGCUGACGAGCGGCGGACGGGUGAGUAAUACUUAGGAAUCUACCUAGUAGUGGGGGAUAGCUCGGGGAAACUCGAAUUAAUACCGCAUACGACCUACGGGAGAAAGGGGGCAACUUGUUGCUCUCGCUAUUAGAUGAGCCUAAGUCGGAUUAGCUAGAUGGUGGGGUAAAGGCCUACCAUGGCGACGAUCUGUAGCUGGUCUGAGAGGAUGAUCAGCCACACCGGGACUGAGACACGGCCCGGACUCCUACGGGAGGCAGCAGUGGGGAAUAUUGGACAAUGGGGGCAACCCUGAUCCAGCCAUGCCGCGUGUGUGAAGAAGGCCUUUUGGUUGUAAAGCACUUUAAGCAGUGAAGAAGACUCCAUGGUUAAUACCCAUGGACGAUGACAUUAGCUGCAGAAUAAGCACCGGCUAACUCUGUGCCAGCAGCCGCGGUAAUACAGAGGGUGCAAGCGUUAAUCGGAAUUACUGGGCGUAAAGCGAGCGUAGGUGGCUUGAUAAGUCAGAUGUGAAAGCCCCGGGCUUAACCUGGGAACGGCAUCUGAUACUGUUAGGCUAGAGUAGGUGAGAGGAAGGUAGAAUUCCAGGUGUAGCGGUGAAAUGCGUAGAGAUCUGGAGGAAUACCGAUGGCGAAGGCAGCCUUCUGGCAUCAUACUGACACUGAGGUUCGAAAGCGUGGGUAGCAAACAGGAAUAAGAAAAGCCUG